UACGAGUGCCCCGAGCGUUAUCCGGAAUCAUUGGGCGUAGAGAGCGUGUAGGCGGUCCGGUAAGUCGGUUGUGAAAGUCCAGGGCUCAACCCUGGGAUGCCGAUCGAUACUGUCGGACUAGAGUUCGGAAGAGGCGAGUGGAAUUCCCGGUGUAGCGGUGAAAUGCGCAGAUAUCGGGAGGAACACCAAUGGCGAAGGCAGCUCGCUGGGACGUUACUGACGCUGAGACGCGAAAGCGUGGGGAGCAAACAGG
RNAcentral lists this ribosomal RNA (253 nucleotides) under uncultured bacterium. RNAcentral describes it as "partial 16S ribosomal RNA". It matches the Rfam family "Bacterial small subunit ribosomal RNA", at positions 524 to 776 of the family's 1533-position model. The record is from RNAcentral.